RNAcentral lists this unclassified non-coding RNA (3985 nucleotides) under Hevea brasiliensis (rubber tree). Lineage: Eukaryota; Viridiplantae; Streptophyta; Magnoliopsida; Malpighiales; Euphorbiaceae. The record is from RNAcentral.
AAAGAUGCCAUAGCCAAAGGGCCAGACCCCGAGAGUGGUACUUUAGGCCGGGGAGACCGAAUGCUGCUUGAAGGCCCCAUCCUUUUUAAGACUCUACCCUACCCUUCCAUUGCCUUUUUAUUUAACUGUGAUCUGUGGAGGAGCAAGGGAAAGGAAGACGAGGGCAGUGUCCUUAACCCCGAAAGUACCUUUUUUUACUCCAUUUUUUGUUUGACUUUUCAAGUAACUCACCCAAUGACGUAACUUGUAAAAUUUAAUCUGUGUGGCAAUCUUGUUAUUAUUAUAUAACUCAAUGCCUCCUCUCCUAAAUCCAAAGCCUACACAAUAUCAUCCUCUCCUUAGUGACUCACUCAACAAAGACUGAGCUACCUAUGCAUCCUUCGCGGGCUAAAAUUCUCUCUCUGAAAACUUUGCCGCUAAUAAAAGUCUAAUCCCAUCGAGCCAACUAUAUAUCUGCGUUCUUGUUUCGUGCACUCUCCGUUAAGCAGCCAUCUCUUUCUGCCUCGCGGGUUUUUUUCUUUGUUUCAUUCAUUUGUCCUCGACGCUGUUGUUUCAACCGCAAGCUCCGCCAAAGGAUCAGUUAUCCCUUUGUUCCCGCCGGAAUACUACUCAUCUAUCUGCUCCUAUGUAUGCGCAUCUCUCAAACGCCUGAAAAAUGGGCUGCGUCAUCGGCAAGACGGCGUCCGGGCAGCGCCGGAGCAUUGCCGGAUCUCCCAACUGUGGCCGGAGCUCCGACCAACCUUCCGUCACCGUUACUGAGGCUGUAAACGCUGUCAGGGAUAAGAAGGAGGUAAAGCAGAGGCAAAAGACUAGACACUCGGGUGAUUUUCAGGCGGAUGUUCCCACGGCAGAGCGUUGGCGGCCACGCCCGGAGCCUUUCCUGAGGAACCAGCAAGGUUGGCCUUCGUGGUUAAUGGCGGUCGCCGGUGAUGCAAUCGGUGACUGGACUCCUCGCCGGGCAAACACCUUCGAGAAGCUUGAUAAGAUUGGCCAAGGAACAUAUAGCAAUGUAUAUAAAGCGAGGGAUCUCAUAACAGGAAAAAUAGUAGCUUUGAAGAAAGUAAGGUUUGAUAAUUUAGAGCCGGAGAGUGUAAAAUUCAUGGCAAGAGAGAUUCUUGUUUUGAGGAGAUUAGAUCACCCCAAUGUGCUUAAGCUUGAGGGUUUGGUUACCUCAAGAAUGUCAUGUAGCCUUUAUUUGGUGUUUGAAUACAUGGACCAUGAUCUCGCUGGGCUAGCAGCUCGCCAUGAAGUCAAGUUUACUGAGGCUCAGGUCAAAUGCUACAUGAAACAACUUCUAUGUGGCCUUGAGCAUUGCCACAGUCGAGGUGUCUUGCACCGUGAUAUCAAGGGUUCCAAUCUGCUUAUUGACAAUGAAGGAGUUCUAAAAAUUGCUGAUUUUGGGCUGGCUACUUUCUUUGACCCUCAGCGAAGGGUUCCUAUGACCAGUCGAGUUGUCACCCUCUGGUACCGUCCUCCUGAGCUUCUUCUUGGGGCUACUUAUUAUGGUGUUGGUGUCGACCUUUGGAGUGCUGGCUGUAUUUUGGCAGAGCUACUUGCUGGGAAGCCAAUAAUGCCAGGACGAACAGAGGUAUUGUUUUGGUCUUGUUUAUUAUGCUUAAUGAUUUCUGUUCAAAUUUAUUAUGCUUGCUCAAAUGAUGCUGUUGCAUUUUACUGCAACACAAGUCUUGAGUGCGUAAACAUUGUCUGUAGUCUGACUAUUCUGCUUUUUGAAAUCUGUGGUCUGUCUCAUGUUUGCUUAUUGAAAAGUACAGUCACUUCAUUAGAUGUAGAUGAUCACAUUGAUGAGCUUAUUGGCUUGUGGUUUUGAUGUAAUAUAAUGAGUCAUUCUCAAACAUGCAGCUAGGUGAGGCAGAGGAAAAGGAAGGUGGUAGCGUAGACAAUUUUGAAUGAUUUUGGCUUGUUCUACAAUUAUAAAAUGGCUAGCAUACUUACAUUGGAUCAAAUUAUUAUAAAUUGCGUACAGGUUAUUCUAUUCCAGUGUUGAACAUUGCCAUGGAACUCCUUGUUCUGAGCCUAAUAAAUAUAACGUCUCCAGUCAUUCAUGUAAUCGUGGAAACCUUUUAGCCAUAUGAAAUUGUAUUUCUGUUGUUUUUAAAAUUUAUAUUGCAUUUAAUUUGAUUUGACUCUAUAUCCUGUUUGUCUUUCUAUUGAUGCUGUUGUUUUUGUUGUUGUUUUAUAAUUGGUAGUUUCACCUUUGACUCGCCUUUCAUUUCUAUUCCCAUUUAGGUUGAACAACUGCACAAGAUAUUUAAGUUAUGUGGCUCCCCAUCUGAGGAAUACUGGAAGAAAUCAAAACUGCCUAAUGCAACGCUUUUUAAACCUCAGCAGCCAUACAAAAGCUGUAUAGCUGAAACCUUCAAGGAUUUCCCUCCUUGUUCUCUGACCUUAAUCGAAACUCUUCUUUCAGUUGACCCUGAUAAUCGUGGCACUGCCACUAGUGCUCUAAAUAGUGAAUUCUUUACCGCCGAACCUUGUGCUUGUGAGCCAUCAAGUUUGCCAAAGUAUCCUCCCAGCAAAGAAAUGGAUGUGAAGUUGAGAGAAGAGGAAGCAAGACGGUUUGCUUAUUUUCUCUUCAUGCCUUCUGUAUUUGUUUUGUGCCGGUCUUGACUAUUUGUGACUGCUGAUAAUUUUCUUUUUUAUUUCUCAGGCAAAGAGGCCUUAGUGGAAAAGCAAAUAUGGUUGAUGGUGCUAGAAGAGUUAGAAUUCGUGAUCGGUUUGGCAGGGCAAUUCCAGCUCCUGAAGCCAAUGCAGAGAUUCCAUCAAACUUAGAUGUAUGUAAAAGACUUUUCUUUUUGUUGAUAAAUUAUUUUAUUUUCAGUUUAGUUAAAUUAUUGUGCAAGAUGAUAGUGGAGAUUUAACCCAACUGAACCAAUCCAUCUUUGUCUCAUUUAUUUCAUUGACCAAUGGAAAGUUGAAUAGUAUUCUGUUGAAUUAGUGUACUCUUUAGACUUUAGGUUCUUUUAUCACCAUCAAUAGGAAUGCUGGUCUUUUGACAUUUCUUUUAUCUGGGUUCUGUAAUCUAUAAAGUAACAACUCUUUCACUGUCAUUACAAAAUGUGGUCGGAUGGUUUCUAUUAUCUGGUCAAACUAAACUUUAAACUGCGUUAUCUUUAGGUUAAUAGUUAAUGAAUCAACCAUAUAGAUUUGUCAACUGGUCAUGUUACAUUUCUUACUCUAUUGGUGGUUUUCCAAUGUAAUUUUUGACCUGAAAUUCUUAUCUCAUAUUUUUUUAAAUAAUUUCCAGAGAUUGAGAGUCAUGACACAAGCAAAUGCUAAGAGCAAGAGUGAAAAAUUUCCACCUCCUCAUCAGGAUGCAGCAGUUGGGCAUCGUAUAGAUGCAUCACAUAAAGCCCCUGUAUCAUUUGGUGCACCUGAUUCUUCUUUCAACUCAUCGAUAUUCACUUCAAAGUCAUCUGCAUCCAUUAAAAGCGCUGGAGCCAGUGGGGGCCCUUCCAGGAGGAAGAAAACCAAUAAGGAAGACCCCCAGAUGGCUCCCUCUCGGAAGUUUAUGCGCCCGUUUAAUCCAUCCACAGUAGGACUAUCCAUGGAUCUAUUAUUCAAGGGUAAAUCUGAGGUUUUUGGCAGGCGCAGGUAGAGAGAUUAACGAGUUGCGCUGUUUUUUGAAUUUAGGUGGGCAAUUUUCAUCUUGGGGCUUCAAUGCUUUUUUGUUUUUCCUUUUUAAUUAUUGUUUCCAUUUAUUAUAUUAUAUACCUCAUCAUAUAAGUAUUUGGUGUAUAAUCCCCAUAACAGAAGCCCCAGUGGCCGUGUAUAAUCUGCAAGUGAAAUCUCACUAUUCUUAUACAGUUUUUGGAAGAAGAGAUUGCUUCCUUAAUUGAGAACGGAAGUGGUUUGCCUCUGGAGGGAAAGCUUUUGCUCUAAUUGUUUUCGCGAGAAACAAAAUGAUUAGUCCCAGAUUAAAAUUAUUAGCAAUAGCUUUCUUUUUUCAAUACAAGAAAUGCGUUUU